UAGGAGGAAAAAAAACUCACUUCACCAUGGAACAUUUCAGAACCAGCCUUUCGGAUGAGAAGGUUUCAAGCACAAGUCAUACAUCAUAUUCAGCAUAACGUGUUUAGCUCUUCCUCUAAUGAGACUAGACCCAGAAUGGUAUGAAUUGAGACGUGUUGGCAGACUCUUAGUCUAAUUUAGCUUGAAUCAGUAUCUGGGUAGGUAUUCUCUAAGCCCCACAAGCCACAAGUACAUGUCCACCCAACGUCCGGUGGGGAAAAUGAGCGGUCCUAACUUCUCCACUCACCAACCAUGCAGCACAACCACCAC
RNAcentral lists this long non-coding RNA (309 nucleotides) under Elaeis guineensis (African oil palm). RNAcentral's name for it is "long non-coding RNA (EGUI_LNC000201)". The record is from RNAcentral. Lineage: Eukaryota; Viridiplantae; Streptophyta; Magnoliopsida; Arecales; Arecaceae.